GGAGGUAUAGCUUAGGGGUAGAGCUCAUGCUUCGCAUGCACGAGGUUCUGGGUUCCAUCCCCAGUGCCUCCG
This is a non-coding RNA of Vicugna pacos (alpaca), 72 nucleotides long. NCBI's taxonomy places the organism in Eukaryota, Metazoa, Chordata, Mammalia, Artiodactyla, Camelidae. The record is from the annotation of a RefSeq genome assembly.